Molecule: ribosomal RNA, 393 nt
Filed under: uncultured bacterium
Lineage: Bacteria
Description: bacterial SSU rRNA
Rfam family: Bacterial small subunit ribosomal RNA
Source: RNAcentral
AUCCGGAAACGGGUGCGUAAUACCGCAUAGUUUUCUUGAUUGCAUGAUUGAGAAGGAAAGACGGGCCUUUGUGCUGUCGCUUAUGGAUGGACCCGCGGCGUAUUAGUUAGUUGGUGAGGUAACGGCUCACCAAGACGAUGAUACGUAGCCGACCUGAGAGGGUGAUCGGCCACAUUGGGACUGAGACACGGCCCAAACUCCUACGGGAGGCAGCAGUAGGGAAUCUUCCGCAAUGGACGAAAGUCUGACGGAGCAACGCCGCGUGAGUGAAGAAGGGUUUUUUCCGGGAUCGUAAAACUCUGUUGUCAGAGAAGUAACAGGUUGGAGAGUAACUGCUCCAGCCUUGACGGUAUCUGACCAGAAAGCCACGGCUAACUACGUGCCAGCCGCAGC